UGUCAGGGGCCACGGAAUGUCGGCACGCAAACCCCGCCAGGUCCUGACGGAAGCAACGGUAGCAUGUCCUGCAUUGCCGUGGUUCUCUGGCAGCG
This 95-nucleotide signal recognition particle RNA is filed under the name Verrucomicrobiales bacterium. RNAcentral's name for it is "signal recognition particle sRNA small type". It matches the Rfam family "Bacterial small signal recognition particle RNA". From Rfam's summary of the family: The signal recognition particle (SRP) is a universally conserved ribonucleoprotein involved in the co-translational targeting of proteins to membranes. Archaeal SRP consists of a 7S RNA and homologues of the eukaryotic SRP19 and SRP54 proteins. In most bacteria, the SRP consists of a 4.5S RNA and the Ffh protein (a homologue of the eukaryotic SRP54 protein). The record is from RNAcentral. Lineage: Bacteria; Pseudomonadati; Verrucomicrobiota; Verrucomicrobiia; Verrucomicrobiales.